UUCCUCUGCGACCUCCCUCUCUCUGUGAGGCUUCCCUCUUUCUACGAGGCUCCCCUCUUGGCUUGUCCUCUUCUCUCCUCUGCUAUGUGAAGACCCAUUUUUUCUAGUUCGUCCCCUCCUCUCUCUGCGAAGCCCGAUCGCGGUCAUCUCCGUCGUUCUCUCCUCUCUCUGAGAAGCUCUGGUUCUGCCACAGACGCCACACACUCCUCCUCUGUUUAGGGCAUCAAUCGGCAGUUAAACGGAUCCUGCCUUUUCCCCCUCCUGUGUUGACUCAACCAAGGGAGCAUGGAAAUGUUCAUUUUCAGACUCUUUGCUGAGAGUCUUCGCAAUCUUGCACGUUUGGAUGUGGUAGACAUGUGUACAAAUACACAGCUAUUUGGUGGGAAUGCUCUAAAACUGCCAUCUGGGGCUAAUUUUUAUGGUGAAAUCAACAUCUUGCUUGUUGGUGAUCCUGGUACUAGUAAAUCUCAACUUUUCCAAUACAUACACAAAUUACAUCCACGAGGAAUUUACAGUAGUGGGAGGGGGAGCUCAGCUGUGGGUCUGACUGCACAUGUCUCCAAGGAACCAGAAACUAGAGAAACAGUGCUGGAAAGUGGAGCUUAUGUUCGAGCAAUAAAGGCAUUCGUUGUAUUGAUGAGUUUGAUAAGAUAUCUAAUAGCGCAAGAAGCAUGAUGCAUGAGGUCAACCUCUAGCUUAGCUGUCCAAGGUUCUCUAGUUGUUAUGACUUGCAACAGUUUUAUUAUUACAUUUUCUCUAUUUUUUUUCAAUGGUGCUCGUUGUCGCUGAUCCCAUAUUUUUGUCAUGUUUAUUUAUUUGAGCGUAUUUUUGCUUUGAAUUCAAACACUUAAAGAGUUCUCAAGUAAAUAUGAGGAGAGAAAAGGCAAAUAAAUUGUGCAGAUAAAUAGGCAUGACUAAUCCAGUUGAGUGUUUUGAUCACAUAUAAAAAUUGCAGAAAAGUGCAGGGCCCUUCUAAGGUUUUCAUCUUAUGUAUUGCAUGCCUUGUUCUCAUCAGGUUCUUAUUCUCUUUAGUACUGGUAUAUGAGAAAAUUUUGGACUCUCUGAGUCUUUGAGCAAUUGAAUAAGGUGCGGGUGCUGGAAAGUGGAGCUUAUGUUUGAGCAAUAAAGGAAUUUGUUGUAUUGAUGAGUUUGAUAAGAUAUCUAAUAGCGCAAGAAGCAUGAUGCAUGAGGUCAACCUCUAGCUUAGCUGUCCAAGGUGCAGGUGCUGGAAAGUGGAGCUUAUGUUUGAGCAAUAAAGGCAUUCGUUGUAUUGAUGAGUUUGAUAAGAUAUCUAAUAGCGCAAGAAGCAUGAUGCAUGAGGUCAACCUCUAACUUAGCUGUCCAAGGUUCUCUAAUUGUUUUGACUUGCAACAGUUUUAUUAUUACAUUUUCUCCUCUAUUUUUUUUCAAUGGUGCUCGCUGUCACUGAUCCCAUAUUUUUGUCAUGUUUAUUUAUUUGAGCGUAUUUUUUGCUUUGAAUUCAAACACUUAAAGAGUUCUCAAGUAAAUAUGAGGAGAGAAAAGGCAACUAAAUUGUGUAGAUAAAUAGGCAUGACUAAUCCAGUUGAGUGUUUUGAUCGCAUAAAAAAUUGCAGAAAAGUGCAGGGCCCUUCUGAGGUUUUCAUCUUAUGUAUUGCAUGCCUUGAGAGAGUUUUUUGAGCAAUUGAAUAAUCUGCAAGCAUUUGCAUUUCGUUGAUAAUGUGCAGGUGCUGGAAAGUGGAGCUUAUGUUUUAGCAAUGAAGUCAUUUGUUGUAUUGAUGGGUUUGAUAAGAUAUUUUAUAGCGCAAGAAGCAUGUUUCAUGAGGUCAACCUCUAGCUUAGCUGACCAAGCUUUCAUAAUUGUUGUGACUUGCGACUGUUUUAUUAUUUCAUUUUCUCUUCUUAUUUUUUUCAAUGAUGCUCGGUGUCGCUGAUCCCAUAUUUUUGUUGUAUUUAUUAAUUUGAACGUUUUUCUUUUAUGAAUUCAAACACUUAAAGAGUUCUCAAGUAAGUGAGUAGAGAAAAGGUAACUAAAUUGUGCAGAUAAAUAGGCAUGACUGAUAUUGGUCUACAAAUAUCCAGACCCAAUUGCAAGAUGGUCUAGACUUGCCCACUUUGAUAGCUUAUGUUAGCUAUUCUAGAAGGCACAUACAUCCCCAGAUUACUGAUUAAGCUAUUGAUGAUUUGAUAAUGGGCUAUGUUGACAUGAGGAGAAGGCGUAACUUCUGGUGAUAACCGUUACUCUUAGGCAAAUAGGAGUGUGAUUCGUUUUAGUGAAGCCUUGGGUCGGAUCCGUAUCUCUGAGCAGGUAGGCACAGACAUGCCUUUGCUGCAUCAUUCGAAUGGAAGAGUGAAACUUGAUGAAGCAGAAAGAAAUAAAUUACUUGGUGGUUGAGUCAGCUCAAUUGGGUUACCUUUUUUGAAGCUUCAUUUGUAUCGGGUUUUUCAUAUUUCAUGAGGUGUUUAACCUCCAAUGGUUUGUAAAUGAUUGUAAUUGGUCGUUGUUUAAUUAAUGGUAAUCUUUUGUGGAUGAAGUUCUCUA
Amborella trichopoda is the source of this 2521-nucleotide non-coding RNA. The record is from RefSeq and is a predicted model, not a curated record. Lineage: Eukaryota; Viridiplantae; Streptophyta; Magnoliopsida; Amborellales; Amborellaceae.